UUUUCGUAUAAUUUUUGUGAAACCCCGUAGUCUUAGUUUAACAGGGUUCACAUUCAAUUGGUGGAUUCUUAAAGUAAUAUACCAAGAUUAUUGGUGACAAAAGUAAUACUUGUGACAGAUAUUUACGUAUUUAAUUCCUGAUGCCAAGCAGUUCCUGCAAUGGAUGGCUGUGGCGCGAAUUUUAAGCAGAAAACUGUGCAGAAUAUUUUACAAGAGCACUUCAAAGAUGAAAAAACUAAAAUAAAUACAGAUGCUGUUAAGCUAGUAACAGAAGUAGCAAGAAUAUUUGUGCUAGAGGCAUCAACGAGAGCAGCUAUUCAAGCAAAGAAGGAUAUGUCUGAUGAAGUUAUGAUUGAUCAUUUUGAGAAAAUAUUACCUCAGUUGUUACUUGAUUUGUGAUAGACUGGAUCUGGAAGUUAAACACAAGACUAUACUAAGGCCAUAUACAAAAAUAUUCUGAUUCUCAUAUAGUCGUGUGUCACUUCAAUAUGAUUAAAUUACAGAUCUAUAUUUCGUUUUGUUUUUUUAUACUUUUGAUGGCCUACACUACAUGAAGAUUUGACUGGUUGUACUGGAUGUCAUGUCGGUGGUCGCACGAGCAGCUUUUGACCCUAUGAUGUCAGACAUUGAUUAACCAAUCAGCAUUGAUGUUUCUAGGGGGUUUACUCACAGUUGCGUGCAGGGCAUGCCAAAUACUCACAGUAACAGACUGUUUCAUUGGCCUGUAAUAUAACAACUCUUCCAGAUCCUAGUGUAGUACAGACAAGUAAAACGAAAUUUUGAACUAUAAAAAACCAAAUGAAAUAGGAUCUGUAUUUUAAUCAGAUUGGUGUCACUUUAAAAGAUCGGCAGUUAAUGAAGUUACUGUAGGUAAUUUGGAAUUUGUUCCAACCCAUAUAGAUUAUUCACCAUGUUAAGAGUAUAUUGUUAUAUUAUGUUUACAAAUUAAAUCAUGCAAAAUAAAAAAAAAAAUUUU
Molecule: long non-coding RNA, 976 nt
Organism: Patella vulgata (common limpet)
Lineage: Eukaryota; Metazoa; Mollusca; Gastropoda; Patellidae
Exons: 6
Source: RefSeq, a predicted model, not a curated record